RNA transcript from Spea bombifrons (plains spadefoot toad), 3452 nucleotides. It is a transcript of the gene named ELKS/RAB6-interacting/CAST family member 2, with no coding region annotated. The transcript is spliced from 21 exons. Lineage: Eukaryota; Metazoa; Chordata; Amphibia; Anura; Pelobatidae. The record is from RefSeq and is a predicted model, not a curated record.
AGAGCCCACCCUGUACCCCAGACAUGGAGCCGGACAGCGAGAGAUUCCUACUUGGCCUGUCCAAAUGACGCCUAAAGAAAGAGGGUGAUGAAGCCCCCUGCCAAAGCCUAGGUGUUCAGAGCGUGAAGCAGUAUUUCGAGCUGUUGCUACAAUCCCCUUGCCUGGUGCCACACUACAGCCCAGCCAUGUACGGGAGCGCUCGCACUAUCACCAACCUGGAAGGGAGCCCUUCCAGAUCACCUCGAUUGCCAAGGUCACCACGACUUGGCCACAGGCGAACGAGCAGUGGCGGCGGCGGCGGUGGAGGAGCCGGGAAGACAUUGUCUAUGGAGAACAUCCAGUCCCUCAAUGCAGCCUAUGCAACUUCUGGACCCAUGUACCUGAGCGAUCAUGAAGGGGUGGCUUCGACAGCAUACCCGAAAGGCACGAUGACUCUUGGAAGGGCUACUAAUCGAGCGAUGUACGGAGGAAGGGUCACCGCCAUGGGUAGCAGCCCCAAUAUCGCUUCUGCUGGCCUCACCCAUACCGAUGUCCUCUCUUACACCGACCACAUAGGCAUAUCCAGCGCUGCUCACCAUCACCACCAUCACCACCAAGUUCCUUCCAUGCUAAGACAAGUUAGAGACAGCACCAUGCUGGACCUCCAAGCCCAGCUGAAGGACCUGCAGAGAGAAAACGAGCUUCUUAGGAAAGAACUGGACAUUAAAGACAGCAAGUUGGGUUCCUCCAUGAACAGCAUCAAAACGUUCUGGAGUCCUGAGCUGAAGAAGGAAAGAGUUCUUCGAAAGGAAGAGGCGGCCAGGAUGUCUGUGCUGAAGGAGCAGAUGAGAGUGUCCCACGAAGAAAAUCAGCUAAUGGAUCCCAGGAAAACAAAGCAUCUACAGUUAACCAUCCAAGCUCUUCAGGAUGAGCUGAGGACUCAGAGGGACCUCAACCAUCUCCUGCAGCAGGAAAGCGGGAACAGAGGGGCCGAGCACUUCACCAUAGAGCUCACCGAAGAGAACUUCCGAAGGCUUCAGGCGGAACACGACAGACAGGCCAAAGAACUCUUCCUCCUCCGCAAAACCCUAGAAGAAAUGGAACUGAGAAUCGAGACGCAAAAACAGACACUAAGCGCUAGAGAUGAGUCCAUAAAGAAGCUCCUGGAAAUGUUGCAGAGUAAAGGGUUGCCCUCAAAAGGAAUGGAAGAAGACAACGAGAAGACGCGGCGUAUGGUGGAGGCAGAGUCCCAGCUGAAUCAUUUGGAGGUGCUUUUAGACCAAAAGGAUAAAGAAAACAUUCACCUGAGAGAGGAGCUGCACCGACGGAACCAACUCCAGCCCGAGACGGCCAAGACCAAGGCUCUGCAGACGGUCAUCGAGAUGAAGGACACCAAAAUCGCUUCCCUCGAACGGAACCUCCGAGACCUCGAAGACGAAAUCCAGAUGAUCAAAACGAACGGGGUCCUCAGCACCGAAGACCGCGACGAAGAAUUAAAGCAAAUGGAAGUUUACAAAAACCAUUCCAAGUUCAUGAAAAGCAAGAUUGACCAACUGAAGCAAGAACUGUCAAAGAAGGAAUCCGAGCUGCUUGCCUUACAAACAAAACUGGAUACGCUCGGCAAUCAGAAUUCCGAUUGCAAGCAACACAUCGAAGUCCUUAAGGAAUCGCUUACUGCCAAAGAACAGAGAGCGGCGAUCCUCCAGACAGAGGUGGACGCGUUAAGACUGAGACUAGAAGAAAAAGAGUCUUUCCUCAACAAAAAAACCAAACAGCUUCAGGACCUGACGGAAGAGAAAGGGACCCUGGCGGGCGAGAUCCGGGACAUGAAGGAUAUGUUGGAGGUCAAAGAACGCAAAAUUAACGUUUUGCAGAAAAAGAUCGAAAAUCUCCAGGAACAGCUCAGAGACAAAGACAAGCAGCUCGGAAACCUGAAGGAUCGAGUGAAGUCGUUGCAGACGGAUUCUAGUAACACCGACACGGCGUUGGCCACUCUGGAAGAGGCGCUUUCGGAGAAGGAGAGAAUAAUUGAGCGCUUAAAAGAACAAAGGGAGAAAGAUGAUCGUGAAAGACUGGAAGAGAUUGAAAACUACAAAAAAGAAAAUAAAGACCUCAAAGAGAAAAUCAACGCUUUACAGGCUGAACUCAACGAAAAGGAGUCGAGUUUAAUCGACCUGAAAGAACACGCGUCCUCCUUGGCCUCGUCGGGAAUGAAGAGAGACUCCAAAUUAAAAUCUCUGGAAAUGGCCAUCGAACAAAAGAAAGAGGAAUGUAACAAGCUGGAGGCUCAGCUGAAAAAGCAAGCGGAGCAAUUGUUCAAUCAGAUGUACAACCCUGCGCCGGGUAGGAGUAAUGACACGCAGGGGGCCCACGAAGCGGAGGAAGACCCGAGAAUAAACCCAGAACUCACAGACCGGCUGAAGCAGCUGGAUAACGACGUCUGUUACUACCGGGAGGAGUGCGGAAAAGCCCAGGCCGAGGUGGACAGACUUCUCCAGAUCCUGAAGGAGGUCGAGAACGAGAAGAAUGAUAAAGACAAGCAAAUUGCUGAGCUGGAAAGGCUCAUGAAAGAUCAGAACAAGAAGGCGUCCAACGUCAAGUACAACCAACAAGCCGAGAAGAAGAAAAACGCGCAGCUUAUGGAAGACACCCGGAGGAGAGAUGACAACAUCCCGGAUAACUCUCAGCACAUGCAGAUGGAGGAGCUCCUAGACGCCCUCGAAAAGUCAAAGCAAGAACUGGAUUCCACCAAAUCGCGACUUUCCUCAACUCAACAAACGCUCGCUGAGAAGGAAGCGCACCUGGCCAACCUGAGGAUGGAGCACAGGAAGCAGCUGAAGGAGAUCCUCGACAUGAAACAAGAAGCUCUCCUGGCCGCAAUCAGCGAAAAGGACGCUAACAUCGCCUUGCUCGAAAUAUCCGGCUCAAAGAAGAAGAAGUCGCAAGAAGAUAUCAUUGCUCUGAAGAGAGAGAAGGACAGACUCGUCUACCAGUUAAAACAGCAGACGCAGAACAGAAUGAAACUGCUGGCGGACAACUUCGAAGACGAUCAUCAUCACCACCACCACCAUCAUCAUCACCACCAUCGUUUUCCUGGGAGAAUACAGCAAUCCAACCACAGGCCCUCUCCUGACCAGGACGACGAGGAGGGCAUAUGGGCCUAAGAGCUCCUGAAGACCAAAGUUCCAAGUUUAUUUCGAGGGAUGACCCCAUCUCUGCUGGAGGCACACGGUCACGACCAGAUCUCACGCUAUACAUUGAUCACCUUUCCAACCUUUGUCUGAAUCCCCAGAGCUUCCACCUUUACCGCUAGUUAGAGAGAGAGAGGAAAGAGAGGAGGAGAUGAAAGACAUCUAAUGAAAAAAAAAGAGUAACAGAGUUUUAACACCAGAAAAGGAAGAUGCAGGACAAAGACCUGAAGAAGAUCACCGACUUCCCAGCAGAAACGCUUUGGGCCGCUGUGGCCGUCGCGU